GAUGAAGAACGUAGCGAAAUGCGAUACUUGGUGUGAAUUGCAGAAUCCCGUGAACCAUCGAGUCUUUGAACGCAAGUUGCGCCCGAAGCCAUCAGGUUGAGGGCACGUCUGCCUGGGCGUCACAUAUCGUUGCCCAAUGCCUAUUGCAGUGCAAUAGGAAUUUCUAGGGCGAAUGAUAGCUUCCCGUGAGCGUUGUUGCCUCGCGGUUGGUUGAAAAUCGAGUCCUUGGUAGGGUGUGCCAUGGUAGAUGGUGGUCGAGUUAGAACGAUACCGAUCAUGUGCAUGCUCCCCAAAAUAUGGCCUCUAUGACCCACACGCGUCUUUUGACGCUCAUGACGAGACCUCAGGUCAGGCGGGGCUACCCGCUGAAUUUAAGCAUAUCAAUAAGCGGAGGA
RNAcentral lists this unclassified non-coding RNA (395 nucleotides) under soil metagenome. Its description in RNAcentral is "partial contains 5.8S ribosomal RNA, internal transcribed spacer 2, and large subunit ribosomal RNA". The stretch from base 1 to 122 matches the Rfam family "5.8S ribosomal RNA", at positions 35 to 154 of the family's 154-position model. The record is from RNAcentral.